This 753-nucleotide long non-coding RNA is filed under the name Microcebus murinus (gray mouse lemur). Its description in RNAcentral is "lncRNA (ENSMICG00000048625.1)". The record is from RNAcentral. Lineage: Eukaryota; Metazoa; Chordata; Mammalia; Primates; Cheirogaleidae.
CGAAAGAGUUGAUAAAUAAAGGGGGAGACGGGGAGAGAAAGAAAGAGAAAGAGAGAGAGAGAGAGAGAGAAGCCUGGGUAGCACAGGAUUAAGAAGCUGAUGGAGACAGGUUGAUUAUUCAAAGCGCCAAGCCACAGGGACACCUAAACGCUGCCCCAGAAAUUAGCAUCGCAAUCACAUCAAUGGUGUCACUAUCUCUAUGGGAAUGAUCGCCGGAGCAGUGGGGUGUGCUUUAUUCCAAUUCUUCUUCGUGGAUCAACUGAUUAUACUCUGUCGUCUUUUGAACCUGUUAUUGAUUUCCUGGCGUCCUCCCCUGGCUCGGCCCUGCCAAGAACUGUCUCCUCUUUCUCCAACUCUGAAAUAUUUGUCACCGCUCCUGCCCGGCCCGGCCAGGGCUGCACCUGUGGCUGGAUUGGCAGCCUCCAGUCCGGUUCCCAAGUGCAGGAGCCCUGAGCUCCCAGUCCCCAUGGGUGACUCCAACUGCAGCCACUGCCCGCCUGAGAUGCUCCGACCCACCCUUCGCUGGCUCCUCCUGUAUCUUCCAGGUAGCUCCAGACCUUCAAUUUCUUCUUUUUUUAUUAUUAUUUUUUUUUUUUUUUUGAGACAGAGUCUCACUCUGUUGCCCAGGCUAGAGUGAGUGCCGUGGCGUCAGCCUCGCUCACAGCAACCUCCAACUCCUGGGCUCAAAUGAUCCUCCUGCCCCAGCCUCAGCCUCCCGAGUAGCUGGAACUACAGGCAUGCGCCACCAUGCCC